Poecilia latipinna (sailfin molly) is the source of this 449-nucleotide long non-coding RNA. RefSeq lists it as uncharacterized. The record is from RefSeq and is a predicted model, not a curated record. The transcript is spliced from 2 exons. Lineage: Eukaryota; Metazoa; Chordata; Actinopteri; Cyprinodontiformes; Poeciliidae.
AGGUCGCCAUGUUGUUUACGUUGCAAUGCAUCCUGGGUAUACCUAAGGUAUGCUAGGAGCUACGAAGCUAGCUCCGUUCGGCCAGCACAGUAAUUUUUGCGCACUGAGUGACGUUCAGUCCUUCAGUUUGAACCGGAGUGAGUUGAAAUGGAAGACGAAGCAGAAACGACACGGAGAAAUUAAGAUGCGAAGCUGACCGGCUUGAUUAGGCUGGUAAGUUUCACCUGUCGGUGUGUCGAGCAAACCAAGAACGGGGAAUUGAGGAGACUUGAGGAUACAGGGUUUGAUGUUUGGGAAAAAGAAAAGGUGAAACGCUGAGGAAACAGGCACAGGACUGAGCUGUUGGGGCAACCAGUGAUUCCCCUGCCUGAGGGCCGCCGUGUUGACGGAUUACUACCAAACAUCGGCAAACACAAGACCAGCUCAAAAUUAAAGGAAAAUGUUUCACA